ACAGGGAUAGCUCAGUUGGGAGAGCGUCAGACUGAAGAUCUGAAGGUCAUGUGUUCGAUCCACACUCACCGCA
Molecule: transfer RNA, 73 nt
Filed under: Triticum aestivum (bread wheat)
Lineage: Eukaryota; Viridiplantae; Streptophyta; Magnoliopsida; Poales; Poaceae
Rfam family: tRNA
About the family: Transfer RNA (tRNA) molecules are approximately 80 nucleotides in length. Their secondary structure includes four short double-helical elements and three loops (D, anti-codon, and T loops).
Source: Rfam by way of RNAcentral